UACGAAGGGGGCUAGCGUUGUUCGGAUUAACUGGGCGUAAAGAGCGUGUAGGCGGCUUUACAGGUCCGUUGUGAAAACUCGAGGCUCAACCUCGAGACGCCGGUGGAAACCGUAAAGCUAGAGUCCGGAAGAGGAGAGUGGAAUUCCUGGUGUAGCGGUGAAAUGCGCAGAUAUCAGGAGGAACACCCGUGGCGAAAGCGGCUCUCUGGGACGGUACUGACGCUGAGACGCGAAAGCGUGGGGAGCAAACAGG
This 253-nucleotide ribosomal RNA is filed under the name uncultured bacterium. RNAcentral describes it as "partial 16S ribosomal RNA". It matches the Rfam family "Bacterial small subunit ribosomal RNA", at positions 524 to 776 of the family's 1533-position model. The record is from RNAcentral.